AUGGCCUCUCUGUUACUUAAUCAUUACUCUGUAUGUCGAGUUUACCACGUGAUCACAUUAUUUCUGAAAAUAUUAAAAUCGACGACGGCUUGAUAAGUAAAUAUGUACCUUUCGAGCGCCAUCUAUUGAGCUCGUUUGUCGCAAAUUCUAAAAUGUCAGUUGCCUAUAAUCCCGCCUUAAGGGAAUAUUUGAAUU
Molecule: long non-coding RNA, 195 nt
Organism: Aricia agestis (brown argus)
Lineage: Eukaryota; Metazoa; Arthropoda; Insecta; Lepidoptera; Lycaenidae
Exons: 3
Source: RefSeq, a predicted model, not a curated record